Molecule: ribosomal RNA, 1082 nt
Filed under: Physocephala marginata
Lineage: Eukaryota; Metazoa; Arthropoda; Insecta; Diptera; Conopidae
Description: partial 28S ribosomal RNA
Rfam family: Eukaryotic large subunit ribosomal RNA
Source: RNAcentral
AGGAUUUUCUUAGUAGCGGCGAGCGAAACGAAAACAGCUCAUCACUAAGUCAUUUUGUCUAUAUGACAAAUAUGAGAUGCAGUGUAUGGAACAUCUAUAAUCCAGUAUGAGAAAUUAACGGUUUAAGUCCUUCUUAAAUGAGGCCAUUUACCCAUAGAGGGUGCUAGGCCCGUAUAACGUUAAUGAUUACUGGAAGAUGAUUCCAAAGAGUCGUGUUGCUUGAUAGUGCAGCACUAAGUGGGUGGUAAACUCCAUCUAAAGCUAAAUAAAACCAUGAGACCGAUAGUAAACAAGUACCGUGAGGGAAAGUUGAAAAGAACUCUGAAUAGAGAGUUAAAUAGUACGUGAAACUGCUUAGAGGUUAAGCCCGAUGAACCUGAAUAUCCAUUAUAGAAAAUACAACAUUAUGAAUAUAAUAUUUUAUUAAUAUUAUAGGAAUAGUGUGCAUUUUUUCUAUAUUUGGACAUUGUAAUCUAUUAACACUUAAAUAUAUAUUUAUCAUAGAAUCAUUAAGAUUUAAGUUUAUUCAAAUURAUAUGCUUUAUGCGUAUUAAUGUCGAAUAAAGUCUUAUGAUUUGAUAAAGUGUUAWUAGUUCAAUWAUAUGUAAAGUUVYUUAAAUUUYUUAGRAWKUUKUAAWUGCCWKAWUWWUAAWUWWURWUUUUUCYAUGCUUAUUACAUGCACUUAUACGAUUAACAAUGCGAUAGAUUCAGGAUACCUUCGGGACCCGUCUUGAAACACGGACCAAGGAGUCUAACAUAUGUGCAAGUCAUUGGGAUUUAUAUUAAUUAAACCCAAAGGCAUAAUUAACUUAAAUGUUAUAUAAAUGGGAUAAGUUUUUAAUCUAUUUAUAGAUUAAUAAUACAAUCCCGGGGCGUUCUAUACAGUUAUGUGUAAUAAUAUUUAUAUUAUUUAUACCUCUAACUAGAGCGUACCUUCAGCAUUUAUGCUGUGACCCGAAAGAUGGUGAUCUAUACUUGAUCAGGUUGAAGUCAGGGGAAACCCUGAUGGAAGACCGAAACAGUUCUGACGUGCAAAUCGAUUGUCAGAAUUGAGUAUAGCUGCGUAAGACUCAUCGAACCC